CGGACUACCAGGGUUUCUAAUCCUGUUCGCUCCCCACGCUUUCGUGCCUGAGCGUCAAUAUCGGCUUAGUGAGCUGCCUUCGCGAUCGGUGUUCUGUAGCAUCUCUAUGCAUUUCACCGCUACAUGCUACAUUCCGCCCACUUCAACCGUAUUCUAGAUUACCAGUAUCAAUGGCAGUUCCGGGGUUGAGCCCCGGGAUUUCACCACUGACUUAAUAAUCCGCCUGCGCACCCUUUAAACCCAAUGAAUCCGGAUAACGCUUGCACCCUCCGUAUUACCGCGGCUGCUGGCACAG
RNAcentral lists this unclassified non-coding RNA (295 nucleotides) under uncultured fungus. RNAcentral's name for it is "sequence contains ITS1". The record is from RNAcentral. Lineage: Eukaryota; Fungi.